GACGUAGGGUCCAAGCGUUGUCCGGAUUUACUGGGCGUAAAGAGCGCGUAGGCGGUCUGUUAAGUGUAGAGUGAAAGCUCCGGGCUCAACCCGGAAAUUGCUCUGCAUACUGGCAGACUUGAGGAUGGAAGAGGUUUGUGGAGUUCCUGGUGUAGCGGUGAAAUGCGUAGAUAUCAGGAGGAACACCCGUGGCGAAGGCGGCCUUCUGGGGCAUUCCUGACACUGAGAAGCGAAAGCUAGGGGAGCAAACAGG
This 253-nucleotide ribosomal RNA is filed under the name uncultured bacterium. RNAcentral describes it as "partial 16S ribosomal RNA". It matches the Rfam family "Bacterial small subunit ribosomal RNA", at positions 524 to 776 of the family's 1533-position model. The record is from RNAcentral.